This 856-nucleotide ribosomal RNA is filed under the name uncultured bacterium. RNAcentral's name for it is "SSU rRNA". It matches the Rfam family "Bacterial small subunit ribosomal RNA", at positions 524 to 1381 of the family's 1533-position model. The record is from RNAcentral.
UACAUAGGGGGCAAGCGUUGUCCGGAAUUAUUGGGCGUAAAGAGCUCGUAGGUCGUUUGCCGCGUCUAUUGUGAAAAUCUGAAGCUCAACCUCAUACCUGCAGUCGAUACUGUCAAACUAGAGUGUGGUAGGGGAGACUGGAAUUCCUGGUGUAGCGGUGAAAUGCGCAGAUAUCAGGAGGAACACCAAUGGCGAAGGCGGUUCUCUGGGCCAUAACUGACACUGAUGAGCGAAAGCGCGGGGAGCGAACAGGAUUAGAUACCCUGGUAGUCCGGGCCGUAAACGAUGAGCACUAGCUGUGAGAGCCUUCCACGCCUCUCGCGACGCAGCAAACGCAUUAAGUGCCCCGCCUGGGGAGUACGAUCGCAAGAUUAAAACUCAAAGGAAUUGACGGGGCCCCGCACAAGCAGCGGAGCAUGCGGUUUAAUUAGACGCAACGCGAAGAACCUUACCAAGGCUUGACAUAUAGCGAAAAGUGGCAGAGAUGUCAUGUCCUGCAAGGGCGCUAUACAGGUGGUGCAUGGUUGUCGUCAGCUCGUGUCGUGAGAUGUUGGGUUAAGUCCCGCAACGAGCGCAACCCUCGUUCUGUGUUACCAGCAUUCAGUUGGGGCCUCACAGGAGACUCCCGGGGUCAACUCGGAGGAAGGGGGGGAAGGCGUCAAAUCAUCAUGCCCCUUAUGUCUUGGGCUGCCCGCAUGCUACAAUGGCCGGUACAAAGGGCCGGGAAAUCGUAAGAAUUAACGAAUCACAUAAAACCGGUCUCAGUUCGGGAUGAGGUGUGCAACUCGACCUCAUGAAGUGGGAGUUGCUAGUAAUUGUCGAUCAACAACGCUGCGGUGAAUACGUUCCCGGGGCU